RNAcentral lists this ribosomal RNA (253 nucleotides) under uncultured bacterium. RNAcentral describes it as "partial 16S ribosomal RNA". It matches the Rfam family "Bacterial small subunit ribosomal RNA", at positions 524 to 776 of the family's 1533-position model. The record is from RNAcentral.
UACGGGGGGGGUAAGCGUUGUUCGGAAUUACUGGGCGUAAAGGGCUCGUAGGCGGCCAACUCAGUCGGACGUGAAAUCCCCGGGCUCAACCCGGGAACUGCGUCCGAUACUGGAAGGCUUGAAUCCGGGAGAGGGAUGUGGAAUUCCAGGUGUAGCGGUGAAAUGCGUAGAUAUCUGGAGGAACACCGGUGGCGAAGGCGACAUCCUGGACCGGUAUUGACGCUGAGGCGCGAAAGCCAGGGGAGCAAACGGG